AGACUGACCCGCCGCCCCUCCCCCGCGCGCGCUCCCGCUCGGCUCCAUCCACCCAACCAGGAAGUGAACCGUCGCCGGAAGUGCCGCUCGGGACAGCAAGGUGAGGAGCCGAGGCCCUCCUGUUGCUGCCGCCGGGUCGCGACAGACGAGAAGGAGUCGUGGAAGAGAAGGGGACCCGGGAGAGGGGUGUCUCGGUGUGGAGAGAGUUUUGGAAAAGAACUUUUAUCGCCCGGCCCGCAGGGCACCAUGGGAAACGUAGUUCGGCACAAGCCACCCGCUGCACUACAACUCCCAGGAUGCCCCUGAAGGAGCGAGCGAGGAGGCUGCGGUGGCCUCCUCGGCCUCGAAGAUUCCCUCCUUCCUCCUUCCUUGAUGUUUAUUUUACCCUGAUAUCGCCUGAGUGCCAAAGUCCACUUGGAGGACAAUGUGGUUUUCAUCAGCCAAAUGCAGAAGAUUUGGAAGGCCAGUUAGUACCCUUCUACAUCCCUAGAUUUCCUGAUCGACGAUGCUGAAGGAUGAAGGAAGGACGCCAUGGAACUGAAGGCACCCACCACAGGAUUUCAGAUAUAAACGAGUUGGCAGACUAUAAGCACCUACUCCUAAGAAUCAAAGCAGGAGGAAGCAUAAGAAGACUGGACACUGUGGAGAUUCCUGGGUGGCUCAGUCGGUUGGGCGUAUGACUUCGGCUUAGGUCAUGAUCUCACAGUUCAUGCGUUCAGGUCCUGCAUCAGACUCUGUACUGACAGCUCAGAGCCUGGAGCCUGCUUCAAAUUCUGUGUCUCCCUCUCUCUCUCUCCCUCCCCCAACUCACAUCUGUCUCUCUCUCUCAAAAAUAAAUAAACAUUUAAAAAAAUU
RNAcentral lists this long non-coding RNA (855 nucleotides) under Suricata suricatta (meerkat). RNAcentral describes it as "lncRNA (ENSSSUG00005001991.1)". The record is from RNAcentral. Lineage: Eukaryota; Metazoa; Chordata; Mammalia; Carnivora; Herpestidae.